This 59-nucleotide transfer RNA is filed under the name Pantoea sp. M_5. RNAcentral describes it as "tRNA-Asn". It matches the Rfam family "tRNA", at positions 8 to 63 of the family's 71-position model. From Rfam's summary of the family: Transfer RNA (tRNA) molecules are approximately 80 nucleotides in length. Lineage: Bacteria; Pseudomonadati; Pseudomonadota; Gammaproteobacteria; Enterobacterales; Erwiniaceae. The record is from RNAcentral.
UAGUUCAGUCGGUAGAACGGCGGACUGUUAAUCCGUAUGUCACUGGUUCGAGUCCAGNG